GGGUGUUGCGCAUACCCGAAGGCCGAGUGAACGCGAGAGGCGGCGACUCAGGUCGCCGUCGUUUGCGGCGAGAUCCUGUCUUUGGCGCGCGCUCUUGCGAGUGUGCCCAUUGUGGAGGCAGGCGCAUCGCCGGCCCGUCGAAUGCGGUUACGAGCCGCCGACCGGAGCUAGAGCGCGCACGUUGGGACCCGAAAGAUGGUGAACUAUGCCUGGGCAGGAUGAAGCCAGGGGAAACCCUGGUGGAGGUCCGUAGCGAUUCUGACGUGCAAAUCGAUCGUCUGACCUGGGUAUAGGGGCGAAAGACUAAUCGAACCAUCUAAUAGCUGGUUCCCUCCGAAGUUUCCCUCAGGAUAGCUGGCGCUCGUACCCAGGCAGUCUCUCCCGGUAAAGCGAAUGAUUAGAGGCCUUGGGAUCGAAACGAUCUCAACCUAUUCUCAAACUUUAAAUGGGUGAGAAGUCCGGCUUACUUGACUUGCGCGUUCGCGCGCUGAAGUCCGGACCGAUAUUUUUCAUCAGGAUGCCUGAGUGCCAAGUGGGCCAUUUUUGGUAAGCAGAACUGGCGCUGUGGGAUGAACCGAACGUCGAGUUACGGCGCCCGAGUGAAACGCUCAUCAGAUCCCGUAAAAGGUGUUGGUUGCUAUAGACAGCAGGACGGUGGCCAUGGAAGUCGGAAUCCGCUAAGGAGUGUGUAACAACUCACCUGCCGAAGCAACUAGCCCUGAAAAUGGAUGGCGCUCGAGCGUUCCGCCUAUACUCGACCGUUGCGGCACGCGCGCUUCUGGCGCGUGCGAAUCAAGCCGCAACGAGUAGGAGGGUCGCGGCGGUAUGCGUCGAAGGGUUAGCGGCGCGAGCCGGCCUGGAGCUGCCGCCGGUGCAGAUCUUGGUGGUAGUAGCAAAUACUCAAGCGAGAACCUUGAGGACUGAAGUGGAGAAGGCUUCCAUGUGAACAGCAGUUGAACAUGGGUCAGUCGAUCCUAAGGCAUCGGCGAAAGCCGUUCAGACGCGGUGUCGAGCUUUUGGCGGCGUGCGCUUGCGCGCGUCGCUGGCUGUGUGCGCUUCGCGCGUGCACGGUGGCCGCACCUGCCGAAAGGGAGUCGGGUUAAUAUUCCCGAACCCGGCAGCGGAGACUGGCCGCUCAUUCGGCUGCAGCGGCCCUAGCGCCGCUGUUGUCCGGGGCGGCUCACUGCGGCGACGCAAACGAACCUGGAUACGCCGGCCGGCGCCCUGGGAAGAGUUGUCUUUUCUUCAUAAGGGGCCGACUGCCUGGAAUCGGUUCAGCCGGAGAUAGGCAGGUGGCACCCGAAAAGCACCGCGGCUCUUGCGGUGUCCGGUGCGUGCCGGUCGGUCCGUGAAAAUCCGGGGGAGAGAAUGAUUUUCGUGCCGGAUCGUACCG
Molecule: ribosomal RNA, 1393 nt
Filed under: Actinarctus doryphorus
Lineage: Eukaryota; Metazoa; Tardigrada; Heterotardigrada; Arthrotardigrada; Tanarctidae
Description: partial large subunit ribosomal RNA
Rfam family: Eukaryotic large subunit ribosomal RNA
Source: RNAcentral